Molecule: ribosomal RNA, 305 nt
Filed under: uncultured bacterium
Lineage: Bacteria
Description: bacterial SSU rRNA
Rfam family: Bacterial small subunit ribosomal RNA
Source: RNAcentral
CGACCUACGGGACGCAGCAGUGAGGAAUAUUGGUCAAUGGGCGGAAGCCUGAACCAGCCAAGUCGCGUGAGUGAAGAAGUAUCUCGGUACGUAAAGCUCUAUCAGCAGGGAAGAAAAAAAGUCCUUUGGACUUUGGACGGUACCUGACCAAGAAGCCCCGGCUAACUACGUGCCAGCAGCCGCGGUAAUACGUAGGGGGCAAGCGUUAUCCGGAUUUACUGGGUGUAAAGGGAGCGUAGACGGCAGCGCAAGUCUGGAGUGAAAUGCCGGGGCCCAACCCCGGAACUGCUUUGGAAACUGUGCAG